UACGUAGGUGGCGAGCGUUGUCCGGAUUUACUGGGCGUAAAGGGAGCGUAGGCGGACUUUUAAGUGAGAUGUGAAAUACUCGGGCUCAACUUGAGUGCUGCAUUUCAAACUGGAAGUCUAGAGUGCAGGAGAGGAGAAUGGAAUUCCUAGUGUAGCGGUGAAAUGCGUAGAGAUUAGGAAGAACACCAGUGGCGAAGGCGAUUCUCUGGACUGUGACUGACGCUGAGGCUCGAAAGCGUGGGGAGCAGACAGG
RNAcentral lists this ribosomal RNA (253 nucleotides) under uncultured bacterium. RNAcentral's name for it is "partial 16S ribosomal RNA". It matches the Rfam family "Bacterial small subunit ribosomal RNA", at positions 524 to 776 of the family's 1533-position model. The record is from RNAcentral.